GACGAACGCUGGCGGCGUGCUUAACACAUGCAAGUCGAACGGAAAGGCCCGGGUUUUGUGGGGUGCUCGAGGGGCGAAGGGGUGAGUAACACGUGCGUAACCUGCCCUUGACUUUGGGAUAACUUCAGGAAACUGGGGCUAAUACCGGAUAGGAGCUCCUGCUGCAUGGUGGGGGUUGGAAAGUUUGGGCGGUUGGGGAUGGACUCGCGGCUUAUCAGCUUGUUGGUGGGGUAGUGGCUUACCAAGGCUUUGACGGGUAGCCGGCCUGAGAGGGUGACCGGCCACAUUGGGACUGAGAUACGGCCCAGACUCCUACGGGAGGCAGCAGUGGGGAAUAUUGCACAAUGGGCGGAAGCCGGAUGCAGCAACGCCGCGUGCGGGAUGACGGCCUUCGGGUUGUAGACCGCUUUCGCCUGUGACGAAGCGUGAGUGACGGUAAUGGGUAAAGAAGCACCGGCUAACUACGUG
This 468-nucleotide ribosomal RNA is filed under the name uncultured bacterium. RNAcentral's name for it is "partial 16S ribosomal RNA". It matches the Rfam family "Bacterial small subunit ribosomal RNA", at positions 28 to 507 of the family's 1533-position model. The record is from RNAcentral.